GAGUUUGAUCUUGGCUCAGAUUGAACGCUGGCGGCAUGCCUUACACAUGCAAGUCGAGCGGCAGCGCGGGGGCAACCCUGGCGGCGAGCGGCGAACGGGUGAGUAAUGCAUCGGAACGUGUCCUCUUGUGGGGGAUAACCAGUCGAAAGACUGGCUAAUACCGCAUGAGAUCGAGAGAUGAAAGCAGGGGACCGCAAGGCCUUGCGCGAGAGGAGCGGCCGAUGCCGGAUUAGCUAGUUGGUGGGGUAAAAGCCUACCAAGGCGACGAUCCGUAGCUGGUCUGAGAGGACGACCAGCCACACUGGGACUGAGACACGGCCCAGACUCCUACGGGAGGCAGCAGUGGGGAAUUUUGGACAAUGGGGGCAACCCUGAUCCAGCCAUGCCGCGUGUGUGAAGAAGGCC
RNAcentral lists this ribosomal RNA (405 nucleotides) under uncultured beta proteobacterium. RNAcentral describes it as "bacterial SSU rRNA". It matches the Rfam family "Bacterial small subunit ribosomal RNA", at positions 9 to 416 of the family's 1533-position model. Lineage: Bacteria; Pseudomonadati; Pseudomonadota; Betaproteobacteria. The record is from RNAcentral.